UACGUAUGGGGCAAGCGUUAUCCGGAAUUAUUGGGCGUAAAGAGUGCGUAGGUGGUUACCUAAGCGCAAGGUUUAAUCUUGAGGCUCAACCUCAUUCUGCCUUGCGAACUGGGCUACUUGAGUGCAGGAGGGGAAAGCGGAAUUCCCAGUGUAGCGGUGAAAUGCGUAGAUAUUGGGAAGAACACCGGUGGCGAAGGCGGCUUUCUGGACUGUAACUGACACUGAGGCACGAAAGCGUGGGGAGCAAACAGGAUUAGAUACCCGCGUAGUCCCU
RNAcentral lists this ribosomal RNA (274 nucleotides) under uncultured prokaryote. RNAcentral describes it as "partial 16S ribosomal RNA". It matches the Rfam family "Bacterial small subunit ribosomal RNA", at positions 524 to 798 of the family's 1533-position model. The record is from RNAcentral.